GCUUGGUCCAAGUGCAGUGGUGUUUACAACUAAUUGAUCACAACCAGUUAUAGACUCCUUUGUUCCUUCUCCAUUCCCACUGCUUCAUUUGACCAGGAAAA
This 101-nucleotide Y RNA is filed under the name Propithecus coquereli (Coquerel's sifaka). Its description in RNAcentral is "Y RNA (ENSPCOG00000009491.1)". It matches the Rfam family "Y RNA". Rfam says of the family: Y RNAs are components of the Ro ribonucleoprotein particle (Ro RNP), in association with Ro60 and La proteins. The Y RNAs and Ro60 and La proteins are well conserved, but the function of the Ro RNP is not known. In humans the RNA component can be one of four small RNAs -- hY1, hY3, hY4 and hY5. The record is from Rfam by way of RNAcentral. Lineage: Eukaryota; Metazoa; Chordata; Mammalia; Primates; Indriidae.